Molecule: long non-coding RNA, 810 nt
Filed under: Arabidopsis lyrata
Lineage: Eukaryota; Viridiplantae; Streptophyta; Magnoliopsida; Brassicales; Brassicaceae
Description: long non-coding RNA (ALYR_LNC000463)
Source: RNAcentral
GAGCCGCUGACGUGUCGGCGUGUGAGUCUAUGCGUUUAAUAUGAAAGGAAACCAAAAAAACGACGUUCGUGUUUUCUCUCUCUUCCUCCUCUCUUUCUCUCCCAAUGCAAAAACAGAGGAGAUUUGUGAUCAUUUCUCGAUCAUCAUCAUCCGCCGUCUCGAUCAUCAAACAAUAAAUUAGGUUUAGAUUAAAGCUUUCCCCACUAUCAAUUUCUCCAUGAAAUUGGAAAACUUGCUUCGGGUGGUGUUUUGUUGUCUGUGUUAAUCCUCCAAUUUUGUGUGUGUAGAUUUGCGCAAUUAGUUGUCAUAAUUAGGGUUUUCGUUUUGCUGUUUCUGGGGUUCCUUAAGGUUUCAUGGAAUUUUUGUGUGUAGAUAUGUUUGUGAGGUGGGAAUUUUAAGUUUACUAUUUGCAAAUUGAUCUUGUGUAGCUUAGGUUGAAGAUGAUCAAACUGAUUUUUGAAACUAGCUCAAACUAGUUUGGAGAUGAUACUCUUUGAUAUCAUCACGCAAGAUGCUAUUUUUCUCUCUUGGGUGUUCCAUCAUUCUAGAUCAUGCCUUGAUGGAGUAAUCGAAAGGUAGUUUUUGUUUGAUUCUAAACCAUGAGUGCUUUAUAUGUAUGAACCUAUGUAUAAAACAUUGUGGUAAAACGUGGAAACUAACUUAGAAGCGGAGAUACGAUAACUUGCCUAGUUGUAUGAUAAGUACUUGAUUGUAAUGUUCUAGGUGUAUUUGAUUCAGUUUAUAAACCUUAGAAGCAUAUACUGAGUUUAAUGAUGUUGCUGCUCUUGAAUUAAGGUCUUUGUUUCUGUU